GAUGAAGAACGCAGUGAAAUGCGAUACGUAAUGUGAAUUGCAGAAUUCAGUGAAUCAUCGAAUCUUUGAACGCAUAUUGCGCUCUCUGGUAUUCCGGAGAGCAUGCUUGUUUGAGUAUCAGUAAACACCUCAACUUCCAUAUCUUUUUUUGAAAUGGGAGUUGGACUUGAGUGAUCCCAACGCUUUUCCUCACCGAAAAGUGGCGGGUUACUUGAAAUGCAGGUGCAGCUGGACUUUUCUCUGAGCUAUAAGCAUAUCUAUUUAGUCUGCCUAAAAAACAGAUUAUUACCUUUGCUGCAGCUAACAUAAAGGAGAUUAGUUCUUGUGCUGACUGAUGCAGGAUUCACAAAGACAGCUUCGGCCGACUUUGUAAACUCGAUCUCAAAUCAAGUAAGACUACCCGCUGAACUUAAGCAUAUCAAUAAGCGGAGGA
RNAcentral lists this unclassified non-coding RNA (433 nucleotides) under soil metagenome. RNAcentral describes it as "partial contains 5.8S ribosomal RNA, internal transcribed spacer 2, and large subunit ribosomal RNA". The stretch from base 1 to 120 matches the Rfam family "5.8S ribosomal RNA", at positions 35 to 154 of the family's 154-position model. The record is from RNAcentral.